Molecule: ribosomal RNA, 536 nt
Filed under: Fuligo muscorum
Lineage: Eukaryota; Evosea; Eumycetozoa; Physariida; Physaraceae
Description: partial small subunit ribosomal RNA
Rfam family: Eukaryotic small subunit ribosomal RNA
Source: RNAcentral
UCUCUCCGAAUCUGCGAACGGCUCCGCAAACCAGUUGUAACCCAUAGCAAGCCUGCUCGUGGAACCCGGGAUGGUGUCCUCACGGACCCGCCCGGGGAAAGCGGGCGAUAAGGCUAUACCCCUGGUAAUCCUGUGGCUAAUACUCGACCAUACGACCCGCAGCCCGCGACCCUCGUCAUCCGACCGCUUGUGGCGGGGGACGGGGAAAUCGCGGUGCGGGGAGUGUGCGGACAUUAACCAAUAGCGAUGGGGGACACCUCACAAACCCUACCAGGAAAGAACGCACGUUCAAACCGCGGUACAAAAGGGAUGCGCGGUGGACACCAUCUCUCUCUGUGCUACGACUUCCUCCAUUCCUUGCCCUCGGGCGGAGGGUGGCCGGUCGCAUCGGGGGAGAGAUCGGGAGAAACCGCAUCCUCGCGGGCCUUGAAACGGGCUUCUGACCUAUCAACUGUACAGCAGUGCAAGGGACGUGCUGUGGUGACAACGGGUACAGAGGAUUAGGGUUCGAUCCUGGAGAGUGGGCCUGAGAGAUC